UAAAUUUAAUUUUUUUUUUAAUCUUAUUCUAAUAUAAUGUAUACAACGUUAACGUUAAUUCGUGAAACAUCUACAAAAAUAUCGAUAUUAUUUAUCAAGCUAUAAUUAAAUGAAGUUUGCAUUCUGUCUCUGUUACAACACCGUCGUAUUUUAUCUCCGUUUCGCUUUAUCUAACGCGAACUUCAAUUGCUCGUAACUUAAUAAAUAAAGCCUCGGCGUUUUAAAGAUUGGCGUUUUUGCAUUUGUUUCGAAUUCCUCCAAGAUUAAUCUUUAUAAUCUUCGCGAAAUUUAUUUUUAUUUGAUUUAUACGUUCCACGAGUAUAUUAACUUUAAAAUAGAAUUUUAAAAUUUAGAAUGAUCGAGAAUACGGAUCAUAUGCGCGUUUAAUCGAGUGAUUUCUUCGCGACAAUCAACCAUCUUUAUUUUAAGAAUCGCGGCGAGCCUCUGGCAGCGGGACGAGACGACAGCCAAGCUUGACGAGGCCAGGCCUCCGCUUGAAUCCGCCAUUCACGCCAUUUUUUGCGCUCUUCCCAUUACCAAGAUUGUGUGUGUGUGUGUGUUCUUGCGCGUGCCUAUACGUGUGCGUGCCUCUUUCGCUUAUUCUCCCUUCGUUACGUCUUCUCUACUCUACACCUCGCCGACUUAACGAUCUACAUUCCCUCCCCCCUCUCUGGCUCUUCUUUUCCUCGAACGAAAACCGAAACGAAUAGUCUCCUCCACUGUUCCACUCGGGAACACUGAAAUCGCGACAUUUUUCCCCCUGAAAGACCGAACCAUCCGGAAUUUUCUUCUUCUUCUUCUUUUUUGCCCAAAAGUAUAUAUAUAUAUCUCUUUCAUCGGAGAAACUGUGGUUGCGAAAAAGGGAAGACUGGAACUGGCCGGCCGGUAAGUAACCGACCGCUUUCUUCGAUUGUUUCUAUUCUACCGCGCAUUCGUGAUAUUUCCUCUCCGCGAUGUUAAGUUAGGAUGAAUUGAGAUCCGAUUCUUGAAAGGAUAUCAAAGGUAAAAUAGGAUGAAAGAAGGUGAGAUAGUUUGAAGGGGUUUUCGAUUAAUUUCGAGAAAUGGAAAAAUGAGGAUUUUCUAUUGUUGCGCGGGAAAAAUAAUGGAAAAGCCUACGUUUUUUACUGUAAAUAUAGGAAUAGGAUUUGUCGAGAAUGCAGAUUCUCGUAAUUUAUUUAGUUAACACGAGGAGGCGUUGAAUAUAGGGAUAAGUCGAUGUAUUGAAAAAAGGUGUUAAGUGUAAUUUUAUAUCCUUUAUAAAUACUUAUUAUCCAUUAAUUUUUCAUUUUAACGUAUAUCUCGAAUUCCAUUAGAAAUGUUCAAAAAACUAAUACGUUAAAUAAAUAAAACAAUAUUAUUAGAUAUCCUUGUCUUAUCUUCAUGAAUAUCCACUUUCAUAUUUUCAUAUUAUGAAAAGAUUUGAUUUUUUUAUUAACGUUUACGCUCUAAUCCCCUUCCGUUUUAAUUAUCCUCUCUCGUGUAACAAAAUUCGUAAAAUCUCUCUCAAAAAAAAAAAAAAAAAAAAAUAGAAUAUACUUCGUUAAAAAUAUCGAAUAAUUCUCACUAGUGUCAACAUAUUUUUCGCGCGCAUCUUCAAUUAAGAAUAAUACACAAGAGCACAAGCUUGGAAAAAGAAACGAGCAAAAGAAAGAAAGGUCGUGAUAUCAAUGCCUAGCAAUGUCCUUAGAACCUCGUUAGAGAUACUCUCCAACCACGUUUCACUCGUCGGACGAAUUCGUGAUAGCAAUACUCUUUUCGCGUGUUCCAAAAGUACCAUGUAAUACAAAAUUAAAAAUUGAACGAUGUAUUUCACGUAUCAUUUAUUUAAUCGAGCCUUUCAAUGAUGAAAGGAAAACAAAAGGUAGUCGAGGUGAGAAAUUAUAUCGAAAGCUGUAUAUUCGAAUAUGGCAGCUUCGUUAAAAUCCAGCGGCCGAAAUACCGCAUUAAAAGCCACAUGCACACGAUGCAUGCAACACCGCCACUUUCGGGAGGAACGUCCUUGGCACGAAAUAAACAGACGCGCUUCGUUCCCUUCGAAGCAACCUUUUUUUUUUUUUUUUUG
Molecule: long non-coding RNA, 2062 nt
Filed under: Apis mellifera (honey bee)
Lineage: Eukaryota; Metazoa; Arthropoda; Insecta; Hymenoptera; Apidae
Description: uncharacterized LOC107964594, transcript variant X4
Source: RNAcentral